GGACGAACGCUGGCGGCGUGCUUAACACAUGCAAGUCGAGCGGUAAGGCCCUUUCGGGGGUACACGAGCGGCGAACGGGUGAGUAACACGUGGGUGACCUGCCCUCAGCUCUGGGAUAAGCCUGGGAAACCGGGUCUAAUACUGGAUAUGACUCCAUGACGCAUGUUGUGGGGUGAAAGCCUUGUGCGGCUGAGGAUGGGCCC
This 203-nucleotide ribosomal RNA is filed under the name uncultured bacterium. RNAcentral's name for it is "partial 16S ribosomal RNA". It matches the Rfam family "Bacterial small subunit ribosomal RNA", at positions 27 to 232 of the family's 1533-position model. The record is from RNAcentral.